RNAcentral lists this ribosomal RNA (253 nucleotides) under uncultured bacterium. Its description in RNAcentral is "partial 16S ribosomal RNA". It matches the Rfam family "Bacterial small subunit ribosomal RNA", at positions 524 to 776 of the family's 1533-position model. The record is from RNAcentral.
UACGUAGGGGGCAAGCGUUGUCCGGAUUUAUUGGGCGUAAAGAGCGUGUAGGCGGCCUGAAAGGUCAGCUGUGAAAACUCGAGGCUCAACCUCGAGACGUCGGUUGAAACCAUCUGGCUAGAGUCCGGAAGAGGAGUGUGGAAUUCCCGGUGUAGCGGUGAAAUGCGCAGAUAUCAGGAGGAACACCAAUGGCGAAGGCAGCUCGCUGGGACGGUACUGACACUGAGACGCGAAAGCUAGGGGAGCAAACGGG